This 82-nucleotide non-coding RNA is filed under the name unclassified sequences. The record is from RNAcentral.
AAGCCUUGUAUAUGGGUGGAACAGCCGAAAGGCGUUCCGACGCGAGCUGUUAUGCGUGGUUAGCCCUAAGUACGGGGCUUUU